RNAcentral lists this ribosomal RNA (1896 nucleotides) under Gammaproteobacteria bacterium. RNAcentral's name for it is "bacterial LSU rRNA". It matches the Rfam family "Bacterial large subunit ribosomal RNA", at positions 1 to 1927 of the family's 2925-position model. Lineage: Bacteria; Pseudomonadati; Pseudomonadota; Gammaproteobacteria. The record is from RNAcentral.
GUUAUAUGGUCAAGUGAAUAAGUGCAUACGACGGAUGCCUUGGCAUUAGAAGGCGAUGAAGGACGUGAUAAUCUGCGAUAAGCUUCGGUUAGCUGAUAAAUAAGCUUUAACCCGGAGAUCUCCGAAUGGGAAAACCCAGUGGUCAUCAGACCAUUAUCCUUAACUGAAUACAUAGGUUAAGGAGGCAAACCUAGGGAACUGAAACAUCUAAGUACCUAGAGGAAAAGAAAUCAACCGAGAUUCCCUUAGUAGCGGCGAGCGAACGGGGAACAGCCCUUAAGCAUAUUUUAAAUUACUAGAAUGAACUGGAAAGUUCAACGAUACAGGGUGAUAGUCCCGUAUAGGAAAAUUUAAUUUAUGUGAAAUCGAGUAAGGCGGCGCACGUGAAACGCUGUUUGAAUAUGGGGGGACCACCCUCCAAGGCUAAAUACUCUCUAAUGACCGAUAGUGAACAAGUACCGUGAGGGAAAGGCGAAAAGAACCCCGGGAGGGGAGUGAAAUAGAACCUGAAAUCGUAUGCAUACAAGCAGUAGGAGCGGAUUUAUUCCGUGACUGCGUACCUUUUGUAUAAUGGGUCAGCGACUUACUUCUCAGUUGCAAGGUUAACCAGUAGGGGAGCCGUAGGGAAACCGAGUCUUAAAUGGGCGAUUAGUAGCUGGGAGUAGACCCGAAACCGGGUGAUCUAUCCAUGGCCAGGGUGAAGGUUAGGUAAAACUAACUGGAGGCCCGAACCCACUUAUGUUGAAAAAUGAGGGGAUGAGCUGUGGAUAGGGGUGAAAGGCCAAACAAACCCGGAGAUAGCUGGUUCUCUCCGAAAUCUAUUUAGGUAGAGCCUCAUGUAUUACUUCAGGGGGUAGAGCACUGUUAUGGCUAGCGGGUCGUCAAGACUUAGUAAACCAUUGCAAACUCCGAAUACCUGAAAGUAUAAGCAUGGGAGACACACUGCGGGUGCUAACGUCCGUAGUGGAAAGGGAAACAACCCAGACCGUCAGCUAAGGUCCCAAAAUUGUAGUUAAGUGGGAAACGAUGUGAAAAGGCCCAGACAGCCAGGAGGUUGGCUUAGAAGCAGCCAUUCCUUUAAAGAGUGCGUAAUAGCUCACUGGUCGAGUCGGUUUGCGCGGAAGAUUUAACGGGGCUAAAACUACAUACCGAAGCUACGGAUCAUAAUUUAUUAUGAUGGUAGGAGAGCGUUCUGUAAGCCGUUGAAGGUGUCCUGUGAGGGAUGCUGGAGGUAUCAGAAGUGCGAAUGCUGACAUGAGUAACGAUAAAGGGGGUGAAAAACCCCCUCGCCAGAAGUCCAAGGUUUCCUACGCAACGUUAAUCGGCGUAGGGUUAGUCGGCCCCUAAGGCGAGGCAGAAAUGCGUAGUCGAUGGGAAACAGGUUAAUAUUCCUGUACUUCAUAUAACUGCGAUGGGAAGACGGAGAAGGUUAGCUCAGCAAGGCGAUGGUUGUCCUUGUUCAAGCGUGUAGAAAUGGUUCUUAGGAAAAUCCGGGAACCUCUAUUUCAAGGCGUGAUAACGAGCCCUCUUUUGGGCGAAGUGAGUGAUACCAUGCUUCCAGGAAAAUCCUCUAAGCUAUAGGUUAUAUGAAACCGUACCCCAAACCGACACAGGUGGACGAGAUGAGAAUUCUAAGGCGCUUGAGAGAACUCGGGUGAAGGAACUAGGCAAAAUGACACCGUAACUUCGGGAGAAGGUGUGCUCUUUGUAGGUGAAAUCACUAGCUGAUGAAGCUGAAAAGAGUUGAAGAAACCAGGUGGCUCCGACUGUUUAUUAAAAACACAGCACUCUGCAAACACGUAAGUGGACGUAUAGGGUGUGACGCCUGCCCGGUGCUUGAAGGUUAAUUGAUGAGGUUAGGAUUUAUCCGAAGCUUUUGAUCGAAGCCCAAGUAAA